CACGUACAUCUCCAGAUAGCGGGUACACCCACACCCCUACACGUACAUCUCCGGACAGCGGGUACAACCACACACACACACACAAACACACAAACACACACAAACACACCUACACGUACAUCUCCAGAUAGCGGGUACCUUUGAUGUGUGCCAGUGUGUCCUGGGAUAGCUGAGAGCUGAUUGGCUAUGGGAUUUGUCUAUCCCUGAAAAGAGUGAAAGGAACUGCCUCCUUGUUUUCAUCUCUCCGGUCUGAUGGGAAGCUUCUCCAGUAACACUCAAGUUUGCCACAGCAACAUAUUCUCACACCAACUAUGAGUCGACAUGGAAACACCGUCUCUGUAAUACGAUAGCACACAGCACAAUUUUAACGGUUUUGCUCAGCAUUAACUCUAGAUUCACACUGCAAAUGGCAUUUAGAAGCUUGAAAUGAUGAUAUUUAUUGCCAGAGUAUUGCUAAGACGUUCUUAGAAUAUAAUCUAAGCUCUUUAUACCUUCACUAAGCCCCCACAAAAAUCCAUGUAUAUAUAAAACACUCUGUCAAUGGACGAUUUAACUUUCCCACUUCUCUUCUGAGACUGUUGAAUGGACAGACUGUGGUGUUGGAGAAAGAGAUUCUUAACAAACCUGCCAAGGAGAAUGGAGUACAUGGACUACGUGGACAGACUAGUGAAUUAUUUCUAUCUCUCUUUCUGUCUCUCUGGCCUUGGGCUAGACCAGAAACGCAUACUCUUUAAGCGUAGGAGAGUGACUGCUCUGCGUCGGCAGAACUGAGUUUGAAUUCUCCACCUCGUCUCGUUCUCAUCUCGAGGCUGAGGUGGGCGUUGUGCAUGUGAGACAGUGUGGAAUCCGUCCUCCUGGCUCUGCUUUUUAUUUCUUCUUUUUUGGUUCACUUUCAGAUUUUUUUAUUCCUUUUUUUUUUUUUUUUUAUUUGUGUACUCAUAUUUUCAUUGUAUUCUUAUGCUAGACAUUGUAGAGCUCUUUGUUCCACUCCAAUGGCAUUUGUGUUUCUCUCUCUCUCUCUCUCUCUGCUUGCUGUAUGAUAGUGUAUUCUAGUUGUAAGCCAAACUGUCGUGUCAAAGAUUGUUCUAUAUUAAAAUUAUUAUUUUUUAAGAAAAAUACAUUUAUUGUGAAUAAAGUACAAGACCAUGGUGAUGUUUGUGUUUGAAUUUUGACCUAGGUUUCAAACCCCAAACGUCGCAGGUGUGAGACAAACGUGCUAACCACUGAGCCACCACGCCUGUCAUCUUGCUCUCAAUGACUAAAAAUGUAUACAAAUUAAAUUAGGUGGACCACCCUAUUUAAUGAAACGUUAUCUAGAU
Ictalurus punctatus (channel catfish) is the source of this 1319-nucleotide long non-coding RNA. The record is from Ensembl. NCBI's taxonomy places the organism in Eukaryota, Metazoa, Chordata, Actinopteri, Siluriformes, Ictaluridae.